UACGUAGGGUGCGAGCGUUGUCCGGAAUUAUUGGGCGUAAAGAGCUCGUAGGCGGUCUGUCGCGUCUGCUGUGAAAUCCCGAGGCUCAACCUCGGGCUUGCAGUGGGUACGGGCAGGCUAGAGUGCGGUAGGGGAGAAUGGAACUCCUGGUGUAGCGGUGGAAUGCGCAGAUAUCAGGAAGAACACCGAUGGCGAAGGCAGGUCUCUGGGCCAUUACUGACACUGAGAAGCGAAAGCAUGGGGAGCGAACAGG
This 253-nucleotide ribosomal RNA is filed under the name uncultured bacterium. Its description in RNAcentral is "partial 16S ribosomal RNA". It matches the Rfam family "Bacterial small subunit ribosomal RNA", at positions 524 to 776 of the family's 1533-position model. The record is from RNAcentral.